UUAUUUGUCAAAUAUAUUUUGUAAUUGCGUGUUGUUACUUACCAAUUUGUGUGAAAAGUUUUAAUAAAUGUAUCUCAUGAACCGUAAGUUUGCGCAACCUAAAUCUUUGCAAAACUCUUUCUUUUAUGUUAAAGUUUGGGCUAAAUUUUGUUUUCCUAAUGGUGAUGGGACAUCCAUUGAAUCAUUAAAAACAGUGAAUGCCCAGCAUAGGAUACUAUGUGAAAAUCAUUUGAAUGAAUCUUCAUUUACCAGCAGCGAUAGGAAAAGACUUAACAAGUUAGAUUAAGAGUGAAUAGAGGAGGAUAUAGACCAAUUAAAAAACAAACAUUGUAGUCCAUAUAGAGCAAGUUAUGACAUCCAAGAACCAUCAACUAGCAAAGGUAUUUUGUAGGACUUGGAUGUGAAAAAGUUCAGUGAACUUACACCUCAAAAGCAAACGCUGUCUAAGAGAUGCAGAAAAACGUAAAACUCAAUGCUAAGGCCGUACUAGUGUGAUAGCAAACCAUAGUCGAACUUUCAUGUUUAUCGGUGUUCGAAAAUGCUGGAAACAGCCAAUAGCAUUUUACUUCUCAGGAGAUUGUGACACAGCAGACAAGUCAGCAGCUCUUGUCGAGGAGGUACAGUAAAGUGGAGCCACAUAGAGGAGUUUUAUAAUAAAGAUCGCGAGAAUCCCAACCGUGUUUGCUCCAGCUUUAACCCAGCACCACUUACAACCAGUACAGAAUGGCAAACAGAAAAUCAAAGAGCGCCUAGCAGAUCAAAUUUUAAGCCAUUCGGUUGCAGUUGGAAUAUUUGCCAAAAUGAAUGAUGACAAGACGCCCCUGGAACAACUGUCGCUGGACAAGCUUUUCGACUGAACGGAGAUUCGACCGACAGGAAAGAGGUAUAAACACUUAUUAUAAUAAUACUUGACAUCUGUAAUUGUGGAUGUGAUCCAAACCCCACGUCGGUCCAAUUAAAAACUAGCUUAGGCAAUUAGUAGCAGCGUUUUUAAUACGCUGAAAUUAUUAUUCUUCGAAGACACUAAACCUAGCUGCGCAACUGAAUAUCCCUGUAACAGCCAGGUGGAACCUCCAACCUCCCAGGGAAAUUAAGUGGCAUCGCCGACUCAGCUACGCCUACGUCUGGCUAUGCUCUCGGGGUGUA
This is a long non-coding RNA of Pieris brassicae (large cabbage white), 1146 nucleotides long. RefSeq lists it as uncharacterized. Lineage: Eukaryota; Metazoa; Arthropoda; Insecta; Lepidoptera; Pieridae. The record is from RefSeq and is a predicted model, not a curated record. The transcript is spliced from 5 exons.